GGGAAGGGUCCCUUUUUCCCCUCUGCUUUUCCUGCAGUGACGCAAUGUGAUCCAUCGGCAAGGAGGGACACCAAUGGAAGGUGUCUGAUAAGGUGGCGGGCAGAACUCGGGCAGCUGGCAGAGACCACACACAUGGAGCCCUUUUGAUCUUGACCAGAUGAAGUUUUGCUAACUGCAUCCAGAGGCCUCAUCAAAAGUAAUGCAAAGAUAGCAACUGACUAUCCAAAGGAGAAGGGAUGGAUUUUUCAGGUGCUCACUAUAACAAGCUUUUGGAGACUCUGUCUUUGGGGGAGAAGUGGAAAACAUACUGAGAGACUAGAGACUCCUCUGGUCCAGCUCAUCUUUCAUCUCUGGUCAGCUUCGGUGAUUUCAUUAUACCCACAUUCCCCCUGAGACUUGGCAACUAUCCUAGCAUACUUCAUCUCCUUUCAUCUUAUCACAUAUUUCCAUUUGCAUUUUUCUGGAAAAUGUCCACCGUUUGUGUUUGCAUAAAGUCUGCUGCACAGUUACCAUGACAUCUGAAAGGAUUUCUAUAAUUAAUUAUUCACAGUGUAUUGUUAUUAUGUUAUUUCAACAUUUGCAUAGGGAAAUGGGCUGCAAGAUGAAUGGGAG
This 612-nucleotide long non-coding RNA is filed under the name Cricetulus griseus (Chinese hamster). RNAcentral describes it as "lncRNA (ENSCGRG00015033093.1)". The record is from RNAcentral. Lineage: Eukaryota; Metazoa; Chordata; Mammalia; Rodentia; Cricetidae.